RNAcentral lists this ribosomal RNA (492 nucleotides) under uncultured bacterium. RNAcentral's name for it is "partial 16S ribosomal RNA". It matches the Rfam family "Bacterial small subunit ribosomal RNA", at positions 29 to 507 of the family's 1533-position model. The record is from RNAcentral.
AGUGAACGCUGGCGGUAGGCCUAACACAUGCAAGUCGAACGGCAGCACAGUAAGAGCUUGCUCUUACGGGUGGCGAGUGGCGGACGGGUGAGGAAUACAUCGGAAUCUACUUUUUCGUGGGGGAUAACGUAGGGAAACUUACGCUAAUACCGCAUACGACCUACGGGUGAAAGCAGGGGAUCUUCGGACCUUGCGCGAUUGAAUGAGCCGAUGUCGGAUUAGCUAGUUGGCGGGGUAAAGGCCCACCAAGGCGACGAUCCGUAGCUGGUCUGAGAGGAUGAUCAGCCACACUGGAACUGAGACACGGUCCAGACUCCUACGGGAGGCAGCAGUGGGGAAUAUUGGACAAUGGGCGCAAGCCUGAUCCAGCCAUACCGCGUGGGUGAAGAAGGCCUUCGGGUUGUAAAGCCCUUUUGUUGGGAAAGAAAAGCAGCAGGUUAAUACCCCGCGGUUCUGACGGUACCCAAAGAAGAAGCACCGGCUAACUUCGUG